Molecule: ribosomal RNA, 890 nt
Filed under: uncultured bacterium
Lineage: Bacteria
Description: bacterial SSU rRNA
Rfam family: Bacterial small subunit ribosomal RNA
Source: RNAcentral
GCCCUUAGAGUUUGAUCAUGGCUCAGAGUGAACGCUGGCGGCGUGGAUUAGGCAUGCAAGUCGAGCGAUAUUUUAGGUAGAGAGGUUGAAGCCGCAAGGCCGAUGCCAAUUUGCCUGAUUUAUAGCGGCAGACUGGUGAGGAACGCGUGAGUAAUUUACCCCCAAGUCGGAGAUAGCCUUACGAAAGUGAGGGUAAUAUCCGAUGUGUUUAUGAUAGCAUAAGCUGUCAUAUGUAAAGGCGGCUCGUAAGAGCUGUUGCUUAGGGAUGAGCUCGCGUCCUAUCAGCUAGUUGGUAGGGUAACGGCCUACCAAGGCUAUUGACGGGUAGCUGGCCUGAGAGGGUGGUCAGCCACACGGGGACUGAGACACUGCCCCGACUCCUACGGGAGGCUGCAGUCGAGGAUAUUUAGCAAUGGGCGCAAGCCUGACUAUGCGACGCCGCGUGAGGGAUGAAGGUUUUCGGAUCGUAAACCUCUUUCGAUGGGAAAGAAAGCCCCGAGUACUAAUACUAGUCGGGGUUGACGGUACCCAGAGAAGAAGCCACGGCCAACUCCGUGCCAGCAGCCGCGGUAAUACGGGGGUGGCGAGCGUUACUCGGAUUCAUUGGGUGUAAAGGGCAGGUAGGCGGUUAUGUAAGUUGGAGGUGAAAUCCUUGGGCUCAACCCAAGAACUGCCUUCAAGACUGCAUAGCUNGAGACCAGAAGAGGAGAGCGGAAUUCCCGGUGUAAGGGUGAAAUCUGUAGAUAUCGGGAGGAACACCAGUGGCGAAAGCGGCUCUCUGGUCUGGUUCUGACGCUNGCUGCGAAAGCUAGGGGAGCAAACAGGAUUAGAUACCCUGGUAGUCCUAGCCGUAAACGAUGAGCACUAGGUGUUGGGGGUAACCCUUCAGC